AGAGUUUGAUCAUGGCUCAGAGCGAACGCUGGCGGCAGGCUUAACACAUGCAAGUCUAACGGACGCAGCAAUGCGUCAGUGGCAGACGGGUGAGUAACACGUGGGAACGUGCCCUUCGGUUCGGAACAACCCAGGGAAACUUGGGCUAAUACCGGAUACGUCCGCAAGGAGAAAGAUUUAUCGCCGAAGGAUCGGCCCGCGUCUGAUUAGCUUGUUGGUGAGGUAACGGCUCACCAAGGCGACGAUCAGUAGCUGGUCUGAGAGGAUGAUCAGCCACACUGGGACUGAGACACGGCCCAGACUCCUACGGGAGGCAGCAGUGGGGAAUAUUGGACAAUGGGCGCAAGCCUGAUCCAGCCAUGCCGCGUGGGUGAUGAAGGCCUUAGGGUUGUAAAGCCCUUUCGGCGGGGAAGAUAAUGACGGUACCCGCAGAAGAAGCCCCGGCUAACUUCGUGCCAGCAGCCGCGGUAAUACGAAGGGGGCUAGCGUUGUUCGGAAUUACUGGGCGUAAAGCGCGCGUAGGCGGAUUGUUAAGUCAGGGGUGAAAUCCCGAGGCUCAACCUCGGAACUGCCUUUGAUACUGGCGAUCUUGAGUCCGGGAGAGGUGAGUGGAAUUCCUAGUGUAGAGGUGAAAUUCGUAGAUAUUAGGAAGAACACCAGUGGCGAAGGCGGCUCACUGGCCCGGUACUGACGCUCAUGUGCGAAAGCGUGGGGAGCAAACAGGAUUAGAUACCCUAGUAGUCC
Molecule: ribosomal RNA, 744 nt
Filed under: uncultured bacterium
Lineage: Bacteria
Description: bacterial SSU rRNA
Rfam family: Bacterial small subunit ribosomal RNA
Source: RNAcentral